GGUUCCAUAGUGAAAGGGAUAUCACAAAACGCUUCGAACGUUUUAUUGAGGGUUCGAAUCCUUCUGGAACCACCA
This 75-nucleotide transfer RNA is filed under the name Clostridia bacterium. RNAcentral describes it as "tRNA-Arg". It matches the Rfam family "tRNA". Rfam says of the family: Transfer RNA (tRNA) molecules are approximately 80 nucleotides in length. Their secondary structure includes four short double-helical elements and three loops (D, anti-codon, and T loops). The record is from RNAcentral. Lineage: Bacteria; Bacillati; Bacillota; Clostridia.